UAUCUCUGUAGAGUCUGCAUAUCAAUAAGCGGAGGAAAAGAAACUAACUAGGAUUCCCUUAGUAACGGCGAGUGAAGCGGGAAGAGCUCAAAUUUGAAAUCUUCAAGGUUUUACCUUGACGAAUUGUAGUUUAAAGAAGUGUUUUCUGUUGGUAGUUUUGGUAAAAGUUCUUUGGAAUAGGACAUCAUAGAGGGUGAGAAUCCCGUAUUUGACCAUUACUUUCCAGCUUUGUGAUACACUUUCAAAGAGUCGGAUUGUUUGGGAAUGCAGUCCAAAAUGGGUGGUAAAUUUCAUCUAAAGCUAAAUAUUGGCGAGAGACCGAUAGCGAACAAGUAGCCGCUGAGGGAAAGAUGAAAAGAACUUUGAAAAGAGAGUUAAACAGUACGUGAAAUUGUCAAAAGGGAAGCGUUUGACACCAGUGUUGUUUUCUCGAAAAUCAAUUAAAAAGUGGUGGAUUUUGUAUUGUUAAGACCUUAUCAGCUUACUGUACUCUUUUCCUGCACUUUUUAAUGCACUUUUCGUUUAACAAGUCAACAUCAAUUUCUUUUGUUGUAAAAGAGUCAUUGGAAGGUGGCUUUCACUUCGGUGAAAGUGUUUAUAGCCUUUGGCUUCUGCAAUCGGAGAGAUUGAGGUCUGCAGCGUAGAUCCUUCGGGGCUAGAUACGUAGAUGCUAAGUUAUAGUUUUUUAUAGACAACUUGUUGACUAUAAUUAAUCAUGUAGCUUACUCGUUUGCGCUAUUUUACCUAGCUUAGGAUGUUGAGUCAUCACACAUCUCU
RNAcentral lists this ribosomal RNA (777 nucleotides) under uncultured Neocallimastigales. RNAcentral's name for it is "partial large subunit ribosomal RNA". It matches the Rfam family "Eukaryotic large subunit ribosomal RNA", at positions 24 to 614 of the family's 3401-position model. The record is from RNAcentral. Lineage: Eukaryota; Fungi; Neocallimastigomycota; Neocallimastigomycetes; Neocallimastigales.